AGUGAACGCUGGCGGUAGGCCUAACACAUCCAAGUCGAACGGCAGCACAGUAAGAGCUUGCUCUUACGGGUGGCGAGUGGCGGACGGGUGAGGAAUACAUCGGAAUCUACUUUUUCGUGGGGGAUAACGUAGGGAAACUUACGCUAAUACCGCAUACGACCUACGGGUGAAAGCAGGGGAUCUUCGGACCUUGCGCGAUUGAAUGAGCCGAUGUCGGAUUAGCUAGUUGGCGGGGUAAAGGCCCACCAAGGCGACGAUCCGUAGCUGGUCUGAGAGGAUGAUCAGCCACACUGGAACUGAGACACGGUCCAGACUCCUACGGGAGGCAGCAGUGGGGAAUAUUGGACAAUGGGCGCAAGCCUGAUCCAGCCAUACCGCGUGGGUGAAGAAGGCCUUCGGGUUGUAAAGCCCUUUUGUUGGGAAAGAAAAGCAGCAGGUUAAUACCCCGCUGUCCUGACGGUACCCAAAGAAUAAGCACCGGCUAACUUCGUG
This 492-nucleotide ribosomal RNA is filed under the name uncultured bacterium. RNAcentral describes it as "partial 16S ribosomal RNA". It matches the Rfam family "Bacterial small subunit ribosomal RNA", at positions 29 to 507 of the family's 1533-position model. The record is from RNAcentral.